AAAUUGAAGAGUUUGAUCAUGGCUCAGAUUGAACGCUGGCGGCAGGCCUAACACAUGCAAGUCGAGCGGUAGCACAGAGAGCUUGCUCUCGGGUGACGAGCGGCGGACGGGUGAGUAAUGUCUGGGAAACUGCCUGAUGGAGGGGGAUAACUACUGGAAACGGUAGCUAAUACCGCAUAACGUCGCAAGACCAAAGUGGGGGACCUUCGGGCCUCAUGCCAUCAGAUGUGCCCAGAUGGGAUUAGCUAGUAGGUGGGGUAACGGCUCACCUAGGCGACGAUCCCUAGCUGGUCUGAGAGGAUGACCAGCCACACUGGAACUGAGACACGGUCCAGACUCCUACGGGAGGCAGCAGUGGGGAAUAUUGCACAAUGGGCGCAAGCCUGAUGCAGCCAUGCCGCGUGUGUGAAGAAGGCCUUCGGGUUGUAAAGCACUUUCAGCGGGGAGGAAGGCGUUAAGGUUAAUAACCUUGGCGAUUGACGUUACCCGCAGAAGAAGCACCGGCUAACUCCGUGCCAGCAGCCGCGGUAAUACGGAGGGUGCAAGCGUUAAUCGGAAUUACUGGGCGUAAAGCGCACGCAGGCGGUCUGUCAAGUCGGAUGUGAAAUCCCCGGGCUCAACCUGGGAACUGCAUUCGAAACUGGCAGGCUAGAGUCUUGUAGAGGGGGGUAGAAUUCCAGGUGUAGCGGUGAAAUGCGUAGAGAUCUGGAGGAAUACCGGUGGCGAAGGCGGCCCCCUGGACAAAGACUGACGCUCAGGUGCGAAAGCGUGGGGAGCAAACAGGAUUAGAUACCACGGUAGUCCACGCCGUAAACGAUGUCGAUUUGGAGGUUGUGCCCUUGAGGCGUGGCUUCCGGAGCUAACGCGUUAAAUCGACCGCACGGGAGUACGGCCGCAAGGUUAAAACUCAAAUGAAUUGACGGGGCCCGCACAAGCGGUGGAGCAUGUGGUUUAAUUCGAUGCAACGCGAAGAACCUUACAGGUCUUGACAUCCACAGAACUUUCCAGAGAUGGAUUGGUGCCUUCGGGAACUGUGAGACAGGUGCUGCAUGGCUGUCGUCAGCUCGUGUUGUGAAAUGUUGGGUUAAGUCCCGCAACGAGCGCAACCCUUAUCCUUUGUUGCCAGCGGUUCGGCCGGGAACUCAAAGGAGACUGCCAGUGAUAAACUGGAGGAAGGUGGGGAUGACGUCAAGUCAUCAUGGCCCUUACGACCAGGGCUACACACGUGCUACAAUGGCAUAUACAAAGAGAAGCGACCUCGCGAGAGCAAGCGGACCUCAUAAAGUAUGUCGUAGUCCGGAUUGGAGUCUGCAACUCGACUCCAUGAAGUCGGAAUCGCUAGUAAUCGUAGAUCAGAAUGCUACGGUGAAUACGUUCCCGGGCCUUGUACACACCGCCCGUCACACCAUGGGAGUGGGUUGCAAAAGAAGUAGGUAGCUUAACCUUCGGGAGGGCGCUUACCACUUUGUGAUUCAUGACUGGGGUGAAGUCGUAACAAGGUAACCGUAGGGGAACCUGCGGUUGGAUCACCUCCUUACCUUAAAGAA
RNAcentral lists this ribosomal RNA (1547 nucleotides) under Klebsiella pneumoniae. Its description in RNAcentral is "bacterial SSU rRNA". It matches the Rfam family "Bacterial small subunit ribosomal RNA". Lineage: Bacteria; Pseudomonadati; Pseudomonadota; Gammaproteobacteria; Enterobacterales; Enterobacteriaceae. The record is from RNAcentral.